UUGACCUCGGAUCAGGUAGGACUACCCGCUGAACUUAAGCAUAUCAAUAAGCGGAGGAAAAGAAACCAACAGGAUUGCCCCAGUAACGGCGAGUGAAGCGGCAACAGCUCAGAUUUGGAAUCUGGCCUUUCGGGCCCGAGUUGUAAUCUGGAGAGGAUGUUUCUGGCGCGGUGCCUUCCGAGUUCCCUGGAACGGGACGCCGGAGAGGGUGAGAGCCCCGUACGGUUGGACACCUAGCCUUUGUGAAACUCCUUCGACGAGUCGAGUAGUUUGGGAAUGCUGCUCAAAAUGGGAGGUAAAUUUCUUCUAAAGCUAAAUAUUGGCCAGAGACCGAUAGCGCACAAGUAGAGUGAUCGAAAGAUGAAAAGCACUUUGAAAAGAGGGUUAAAAAGUACGUGAAAUUGUUGAAAGGGAAG
Molecule: ribosomal RNA, 416 nt
Filed under: Grosmannia hughesii
Lineage: Eukaryota; Fungi; Ascomycota; Sordariomycetes; Ophiostomatales; Ophiostomataceae
Description: partial 28S ribosomal RNA
Rfam family: Eukaryotic large subunit ribosomal RNA
Source: RNAcentral